AUUAAAUUAAAAGUUAAAAUAUAACUGGCAGUCGAACGCCAAUAAAAUAAAAUAAAAUUAAAUUAAAAGUUAAAAUAUAACUGGCAGUCGAACGCAGUCAAAAAAAAAAAAAAAAAAAAAAAAAUGGAAACACAUAAAACAGAACAAGCAACCACAUCCACAUCCGACACUGUCAAUAGAAGCUGCAGCAAAUCAAACUCCAUCUGCUGCAACACGUCACUUGCCACAUAACAAUCCAACUUUUCAAUUACCACUAUCGGAAGCACUAAAAGAAGCAGCGAGAAUCCAGGAGUUCCGAGGAGAUAAUACAUACGACGUCACAUCAUUUAUUAAUGAAGUCGAACUUUUCAUCGACUUGUUUGCCGGUACCAACGUGGAGGAGUAUUUUUAUAAGCGGCACGUCCAAAAAAAAAUUCAAGGAGAAGCAGCUAACGCAAUUAGAGCCCUCGACAAUCCAAGCUGGACAGAAACAAAACAAGAACUCCUGAGGAAUUUUGGAGUUCGCGAAUCGUAUCAUCAACUGUACCACAAGGCGCUGAACGUAAGAAAUUAUAAUGGGCAAUGGACAUCAACAGGUAUAUUAAUCCUGAUGAUAAUACCACUAGUAAUGUCAACAUUAAUAAUCCAACCCAUCAACGAAAACCAUAA
Long non-coding RNA from Bactrocera neohumeralis, 648 nucleotides. RefSeq lists it as uncharacterized. The transcript has 2 exons. The record is from RefSeq and is a predicted model, not a curated record. NCBI's taxonomy places the organism in Eukaryota, Metazoa, Arthropoda, Insecta, Diptera, Tephritidae.